This 73-nucleotide transfer RNA is filed under the name Trachymyrmex cornetzi. It matches the Rfam family "tRNA". Rfam says of the family: Transfer RNA (tRNA) molecules are approximately 80 nucleotides in length. Their secondary structure includes four short double-helical elements and three loops (D, anti-codon, and T loops). Further hydrogen bonds mediate the characteristic L-shaped molecular structure. tRNAs have two regions of fundamental functional importance: the anti-codon, which is responsible for specific mRNA codon recognition, and the 3' end, to which the tRNAs corresponding amino acid is attached (by aminoacyl-tRNA synthetases). tRNAs cope with the degeneracy of the genetic code in two manners: having more than one tRNA (with a specific anti-codon) for a particular amino acid; and 'wobble' base-pairing, i.e. permitting non-standard base-pairing at the 3rd anti-codon position. Lineage: Eukaryota; Metazoa; Arthropoda; Insecta; Hymenoptera; Formicidae. The record is from Rfam by way of RNAcentral.
GUCUCGGUAGUCUAAAGGCUUAGGACGCUUGCACGGAAUGCAAGAGAUCCAGGUUCGACUCCCAGCCGAGGUA